RNAcentral lists this ribosomal RNA (791 nucleotides) under uncultured bacterium. Its description in RNAcentral is "bacterial SSU rRNA". It matches the Rfam family "Bacterial small subunit ribosomal RNA", at positions 8 to 796 of the family's 1533-position model. The record is from RNAcentral.
AGAGUUUGAUCAUGGCUCAGAUUGAACGCUGGCGGCAUGCCUUACACAUGCAAGUCGAACGGUAACAGGUCUUCGGAUGCUGACGAGUGGCGAACGGGUGAGUAAUACAUCGGAACGUGCCCAGUAAUGGGGGAUAGCUCGGCGAAAGCCGGAUUAGUACCGCAUACGCCCUGAGGGGGAAAGUGGGGGACCGCAAGGCCUCACGUUAUUGGAGCGGCCGAUGGCUGAUUAGCUAGUUGGUAGGGUAAAGGCCUACCAAGGCGACGAUCAGUAGCUGGUCUGAGAGGACGAUCAGCCACACUGGGACUGAGACACGGCCCAGACUCCUACGGGAGGCAGCAGUGGGGAAUUUUGGACAAUGGGGGAAACCCUGAUCCAGCAAUGCCGCGUGUGCGAAGAAGGCCUUCGGGUUGUAAAGCACUUUUGUCAGGGAAGAAAUCCUUUGGGCUAAUACCCUAAGGGGAUGACGGUACCUGAAGAAUAAGCACCGGCUAACUACGUGCCAGCAGCCGCGGUAAUACGUAGGGUGCAAGCGUUAAUCGGAAUUACUGGGCGUAAAGCGUGCGCAGGCGGUUGUGUAAGACAGGUGUGAAAUCCCCGGGCUUAACCUGGGAAUUGCAUUUGUGACUGCACGACUAGAGUGUGUCAGAGGGGGGUGGAAUUCCACGUGUAGCAGUGAAAUGCGUAGAUAUGUGGAGGAACACCAAUGGCGAAGGCAGCCCCCUGGGAUAACACUGACGCUCAUGCACGAAAGCGUGGGGAGCAAACAGGAUUAGAUACCCCGGUAGUCC